Fukomys damarensis (Damara mole-rat) is the source of this 592-nucleotide long non-coding RNA. RefSeq lists it as uncharacterized. The record is from RefSeq and is a predicted model, not a curated record. The transcript has 5 exons. NCBI's taxonomy places the organism in Eukaryota, Metazoa, Chordata, Mammalia, Rodentia, Bathyergidae.
AUCAAACUGGAGAUGAACAUCUAAAGGCAAUGGGCAAUGCUGGAGCUCCUCCAAAGAAGCAAAGAUGUGAAGAGCAUGAUAACCUUGUUUGAAAGUGUGGUAUUCUGGAGAGAAGAGAGCAGUCUACCAAAGAAUCUGACAUAGAAGCCUGGCUAUCAGACUAAAUCAAGGUACCCAGACACAGCAGGAGCCAGCCUUUUCCAAAAAGGCUCUGAGCUAUCUUUAAGUUUGGAGAGACUGUAUCUCAAGAAUCACCUUCUUCUUGUUGGGGACCAGUGUCUUCAUACCUGAUCCAAGGACAUAGCCCAGGAUGCUUUGCUGAGUGAAACACUUACCUUGGAAAAAGAUGGAAGAGCUUGAAUAAAUUCAGAUCUGGGAUUUCAAAGUGCUGCCACAUCAUUUAAAUGUCCUUACAGGGAGAGGAUAUUUGGACACACACAAGGAUAACCAUGUGAGGAUGGCUGUCUACAAGACAAAGAGAGAGGCCUUAAAAGGAACCAAUCUGCCAAUACCUUGAUAUUGGAAUUCUGGUCACCACAACUGAGAUAAUAAAUUUCUGUAGUUUAAGCCACCCAGUCCAUGUGAUUUUUUU